GAUGAACGCUGACAGAAUGCUUAACACAUGCAAGUCUUUGGCGAAGCUGUGCUUGCACAGCCUAGCCAAGGCGGACGGGUGAGUAACGCGUAAGGAACUUGCCCUGCAGUCAGGGAUAACAGACGGAAACGACUGAUAAGACCUGGUAAAGUCAGGCGGACUCAUGUCCAGCCUGAUGAAAAGAGAUGCUGCAGGAGAGCCUUGCGUCCUAUUAGCUUGUUGGUGGGGUAACGGCCCACCAAGGCGAUGAUAGGUAGCCGGCCUGAGAGGGUGGACGGCCACAAGGGGACUGAGAUACGGCCCUUACUCCUACGGGAGGCGGCAGUGGGGAAUAUUGGACAAUGGGGGCAACCCUGAUCCAGCAAUUCUGUGUGCACGAUGAAGGUUUUCGGAUUGUAAAGUGCUUUCAGCAGGGAAGAAAAAAAUGACGGUACCUGCAGAAGAAGCGACGGCUAAAUACGUG
Molecule: ribosomal RNA, 463 nt
Filed under: uncultured bacterium
Lineage: Bacteria
Description: partial 16S ribosomal RNA
Rfam family: Bacterial small subunit ribosomal RNA
Source: RNAcentral